GCAGUCGAGCGGAAGGCCCUUCGGGGUACUCGAGCGGCGAACGGGUGAGUAACACGUGAGCAACCUGCCCCAGGCUUUGGGAUAACCCCGGGAAACCGGGGCUAAUACCGAAUAUGACCUCUGACCGCAUGGUUGGUGGUGGAAAGUUUUUCGGCUUGGGAUGGGCUCGCGGCCUAUCAGCUUGUUGGUGGGGUGAUGGCCUACCAAGGCGACGACGGGUAGCCGGCCUGAGAGGGCGACCGGCCACACUGGGACUGAGACACGGCCCAGACUCCUACGGGAGGCAGCAGUGGGGAAUAUUGCACAAUGGGCGGAAGCCUGAUGCAGCGACGCCGCGUGAGGGAUGACGGCCUUCGGGUUGUAAACCUCUUUCAGCAGGGACGAAGCGUAAGUGACGGUACCUGCAGAAGAAGCGCCGGCCAACUACGUGCCAGCAGCCGCGGUAAGACGUAGGGCGCGAGCGUUGUCCGGAUUUAUUGGGCGUAAAGAGCUCGUAGGCGGCUUGUCGCGUCGACCGUGAAAACUUGGGGCUCAACCCCAAGCCUGCGGUCGAUACGGGCAGGCUAGAGUUCGGUAGGGGAGACUGGAAUUCCUGGUGUAGCGGUGAAAUGCGCAGAUAUCAAGAGGAACACCGGUGGCGAAGGCGGGUCUCUGGGCCGAUACUGACGCUGAGGAGCGAAAGCGUGGGGAGCGAACAGGAUUAGAUACCCUGGUAGUCCACGCUGUAAACGUUGGGCGCUA
RNAcentral lists this ribosomal RNA (741 nucleotides) under uncultured Micromonospora sp. Its description in RNAcentral is "bacterial SSU rRNA". It matches the Rfam family "Bacterial small subunit ribosomal RNA", at positions 57 to 818 of the family's 1533-position model. The record is from RNAcentral. Lineage: Bacteria; Bacillati; Actinomycetota; Actinomycetes; Micromonosporales; Micromonosporaceae.